RNAcentral lists this microRNA (20 nucleotides) under Spodoptera frugiperda (fall armyworm). Its description in RNAcentral is "sfr-miR-10500-5p". Lineage: Eukaryota; Metazoa; Arthropoda; Insecta; Lepidoptera; Noctuidae. The record is from miRBase by way of RNAcentral.
UGUUCGGGCAUGUAUUCGUC